UACGGAGGAUGCGAGCGUUAUCCGGAUUUAUUGGGUUUAAAGGGUGCGUAGGCGGCUUAGUAAGUCAGCGGUGAAAUUUUGCAGCUUAACUGUAACAGUGCCGUUGAUACUGCCAGGCUAGGAUUUGGUUGCUGUGGGUGGAAUGUGUGGUGUAGCGGUGAAAUGCUUAGAUAUCACACAGAAUAUCGAUUGCGAAGGCAGCUCACAAGGCCAAGAUUGACGCUGAGGCACGAAAGUGUGGGGAUCAAACAGGA
This 254-nucleotide ribosomal RNA is filed under the name uncultured prokaryote. RNAcentral's name for it is "partial 16S ribosomal RNA". It matches the Rfam family "Bacterial small subunit ribosomal RNA", at positions 524 to 777 of the family's 1533-position model. The record is from RNAcentral.